UAGGGAAUCUUCGGCAAUGGACGAAAGUCUGACCGAGCAACGCCGCGUGAGUGAAGAAGGUUUUCGGAUCGUAAAACUCUGUUGUUAGAGAAGAACAAGGACGUUAGUAACUGAACGUCCCCUGACGGUAUCUAACCAGAAAGCCACGGCUAACUACGUGCCAGCAGCCGCGGUAAUACGUAGGUGGCAAGCGUUGUCCGGAUUUAUUGGGCGUAAAGCGAGCGCAGGCGGUUUCUUAAGUCUGAUGUGAAAGCCCCCGGCUCAACCGGGGAGGGUAAUUGGAAACUGGGAGACUUGAGUGCAGAAGAGGGAAGUGGAAUUCCAUGUGUGGCGGUGAAAUGCGUAGAUAUAUGGAGGAACACGAGUGGCGAAGGCGGCUCUCUGGUCUGUAACUGACGCUGAGGCUCGAAAGCGUGGGGAGCAAACAGG
RNAcentral lists this ribosomal RNA (429 nucleotides) under Gemmatimonadota bacterium. RNAcentral describes it as "Gemmatimonadetes bacterium partial 16S ribosomal RNA". It matches the Rfam family "Bacterial small subunit ribosomal RNA", at positions 355 to 776 of the family's 1533-position model. The record is from RNAcentral. Lineage: Bacteria; Pseudomonadati; Gemmatimonadota.